ACGCUCGACACCUACGGGAGGCAGCAGUGGGGAAUAUUGCACAAUGGGGGAAACCCUGAUGCAGCGACGCCGCGUGAAGGAAGAAGUAUCUCGGUAUGUAAACUUCUAUCAGCAGGGAAGAAAAUGACGGUAUCUGACUAAGAAGCCCCGGNUAACUACGUGCCAACAGCCGCGGUAAUCUGAGCGGGCUGGCAAGGC
RNAcentral lists this ribosomal RNA (198 nucleotides) under uncultured bacterium. Its description in RNAcentral is "partial 16S ribosomal RNA". It matches the Rfam family "Bacterial small subunit ribosomal RNA", at positions 328 to 539 of the family's 1533-position model. The record is from RNAcentral.